This 253-nucleotide ribosomal RNA is filed under the name uncultured bacterium. Its description in RNAcentral is "partial 16S ribosomal RNA". It matches the Rfam family "Bacterial small subunit ribosomal RNA", at positions 524 to 776 of the family's 1533-position model. The record is from RNAcentral.
UACGUAGGGACCAAGCGUUGUUCGGAAUUACUGGGCGUAAAGCGCGUGUAGGCGGUUGUCCAAGUUGGAUGUGAAAGCCUUGAGCUUAACUCAAGAAAUGCAUUCAGGACUGGAUGACUAGAGGACCGGAGAGGAUAGUGGAAUUCCCAGUGUAGUGGUGAAAUACGUAGAGAUUGGGAAGAACACCAGUGGCGAAGGCGGCUAUCUGGACGGUUUCUGACGCUAAGACGCGAAAGCGUGGGGAGCAAACAGG